Molecule: long non-coding RNA, 719 nt
Organism: Oxyura jamaicensis (ruddy duck)
Lineage: Eukaryota; Metazoa; Chordata; Aves; Anseriformes; Anatidae
Exons: 2
Source: RefSeq, a predicted model, not a curated record
AAUUCCUUUCAGAAAUAUUUAUUUCCUGGAGAUUGGAGGUGAAAACCUGGCCUCACUGACACCAGUGACAAAGUAAUUGGUGGCUUCAGAGGAUCCAAAAUAUCAUUGCUCUUCUUUAUAUACAUCUCUACUUUAAUAAUACAUGGCUGCUUUCAUAUCCUACAGGACUUUAUAGGCAACAGAAUUUAAAAACUGCCAUACUGGGUCAAAAUGAAGAUCAGUGGUCUUUCACUGAUUAGACAAGUGGUCUUUCAUUGACAAUGACCGUUAUUGGAUACUUAGAGUUUAAAAAGCCAAGGGAGAAAAUGUCUUUCCUAGGAUUUCUUUCCCACUGUCUGUCAAACAAAUAGAACUUCUGCAGCCCAUACUGGACCAAAAGCAUCAUGUUUACUAGCUGUUGAUGGCUCUGGAAUUUCUCCAGUCCUUUCUGGAAAUCACUAACUUUCAACUUUUACAGCUUUGUGUGGUGCUGUCCCACAGUUUAAUAAUGCUGUAAUAAUUGUAGAAAGUGCCUAUAAUUAAUUGUUAUAGUGUAUUGUUACAUUGUUAGAAUUAUAUACAUAGUUAAUUGUUAUUGCUAAUUGUUAUAUUUAAAAUCCUAUAAACUGUCAUAGUAAUUUCCUUUUCACCCUCUGUGUACGAUUAAUGACUCAAAGACUGGAGUAAUAUGUAUUGCUGUUGUAAUGAUUUCUUCCUUAUAAAACAGUUUUCCAAGACAU